This 82-nucleotide non-coding RNA is filed under the name Rikenella microfusus. Its description in RNAcentral is "TPP riboswitch (THI element)". The stretch from base 3 to 74 matches the Rfam family "TPP riboswitch aptamer (THI element)", at positions 11 to 88 of the family's 105-position model. Rfam says of the family: Vitamin B(1) in its active form thiamin pyrophosphate (TPP) is an essential coenzyme that is synthesised by coupling of pyrimidine and thiazole moieties in bacteria. The previously detected thiamin-regulatory element, thi box was extended, resulting in a new, highly conserved RNA secondary structure, the THI element, which is widely distributed in eubacteria and also occurs in some archaea. Analysis of operon structures identified a large number of new candidate thiamin-regulated genes, mostly transporters, in various prokaryotic organisms. Lineage: Bacteria; Pseudomonadati; Bacteroidota; Bacteroidia; Bacteroidales; Rikenellaceae. The record is from RNAcentral.
AUAGGGGUGCUCCGCCGUGCGCGGGGCUGAGAUCAUACCCGUAGAACCUGAUGCGGAUAAUGCCGCCGUAGGGAUUUUCUGA